This 28-nucleotide non-coding RNA is filed under the name Mus musculus (house mouse). Lineage: Eukaryota; Metazoa; Chordata; Mammalia; Rodentia; Muridae. The record is from RNAcentral.
UGGCUAAUGGUAAAGUGGUAUCCAAACA